RNAcentral lists this ribosomal RNA (440 nucleotides) under uncultured bacterium. RNAcentral's name for it is "bacterial SSU rRNA". It matches the Rfam family "Bacterial small subunit ribosomal RNA", at positions 338 to 795 of the family's 1533-position model. The record is from RNAcentral.
CCUACGGGAGGCAGCAGUGGGGAAUAUUGGACAAUGGGCGCAAGCCUGAUCCAGCCAUGCCGCGUGAGUGAUGACGGCCCUAGGGUUGUAAAGCUCUUUCGCAGGUGAAGAUAAUGACGGUAACCUGAGAAGAAGCCCCGGCUAACUUCGUGCCAGCAGCCGCGGUAAUACGAAGGGGGCUAGCGUUGUUCGGAAUUACUGGGCGUAAAGCGCACGUAGGCGGACUAUUAAGUCAGGGGUGAAAUCCCGGGGCUCAACCCCGGAACUGCCUUUGAUACUGGUAGUCUGGAGUCCGGAAGAGGUGAGUGGAAUUCCGAGUGUAGAGGUGAAAUUCGUAGAUAUUCGGAGGAACACCAGUGGCGAAGGCGGCUCACUGGUCCGGUACUGACGCUGAGGUGCGAAAGCGUGGGGAGCAAACAGGAUUAGAUACCCUAGUAGUC